Molecule: ribosomal RNA, 253 nt
Filed under: uncultured bacterium
Lineage: Bacteria
Description: partial 16S ribosomal RNA
Rfam family: Bacterial small subunit ribosomal RNA
Source: RNAcentral
UACGUAGGGGGCAAGCGUUGUCCGGAAUCAUUGGGCGUAAAGAGCGUGUAGGCGGCCAGAUAAGUCCGCUGUGAAAUCUCGAGGCUCAACUUCGAGCUGUCGGUGGAAACUGUCUGGCUAGAGUCCGGAAGAGGAGAAUGGAAUUCCUGGUGUAGCGGUGAAAUGCGCAGAUAUCAGGAAGAACACCCGUGGCGAAGGCGGUUCUCUGGGACGUGACUGACGCUGAGACGCGAAAGCGUGGGGAGCAAACAGG